Molecule: long non-coding RNA, 388 nt
Organism: Brachypodium distachyon (stiff brome)
Lineage: Eukaryota; Viridiplantae; Streptophyta; Magnoliopsida; Poales; Poaceae
Exons: 3
Source: RefSeq, a predicted model, not a curated record
CCUAAUUUGUUUAGAGAUUAUAUCUUUCCUUUUAUUUUUAUUCUGAAGCCUUUGUCUUUAUUUUUCCUCAGUUAUACAUGUUUAGCUAGCAUUCCUAAUCUAGGUCUACUACGUGUCGCGGCCCUUCAGGCCUGGUUUGAUGCUGCCGUAUAUACAAGGUCGUGCUAGAAGACUGCCAGCUCCAGCCACAACCAAAUUUUCUGCUACUGAGCUGCUUAUUGAGAGUACCUAACAAGUUUCGCUGAACAGAAAGAUGCAGGCGUUCUAAUCAAUUAGGAAGCUGGUGGUGGUAGUUUACCGAACUGUCGUUUUGGGGGGAGAUCUGGAGAUGUUUGGCCCAAGCUCUUGUUUUGUGGAGAUCUUGAGAUGUUUGUGUUUCACCCAUGAA